AAGAAUGUGUAAAUUUCAGCAAUUUACACCAGUUUGGACACUAAUCUGGCAACGUUAAUUUAACAGAGCCGUUCAAAGCUCUUCCCACUUGUUGCAAUUGGAGAGUGUUUAACUUGUACCCAGGUGUGUGUUCCCCUUGGCGGUGGUCUCAGGUCCUGGCAGGAAUACCCCACCCACUGCUGUUACACCAAUCUGAGCAGCCUUGGAGUAAAUGCUGUUCACCCAGCAGGGUUGGGAAAGGAAGCACAGCCUAACAAAAAACUGCUCCAGAGGAGCUGCUGAGAGGUGUGCUGUUCCUGAUUAUCCCAUCCUUUUCUUCUGAUUGGCCUGGAAAUUGUACCUGCCUGGUUGCUGCCUCCUGUUGCUGGGCUUUUUAACCCACAGCUUUUGAAGUGCUUCCAGAUUGUACCUAAAGCUGAGCCCAGAUCUGUGGGAGAGGAGAGUAUAACAUUACCUGCUCUGCUGAAGUUGGAGGUGGGGUGCUGAGUGUUAAAGGCUUACACUGGACAUCUGCACAGGGGCUCUGGCUUCUUCACCUGGCUCUGCUGCUCCAGCUGAAUGGUCCUGGCUGUUACCUCUGCAUAAAACUACAAGGAAGGGUAGGCAGGUAGGAUGGAGGAUGCCCCCAGUCAGCUUUUUCGCCUGUGAUGUGAGGCACCACUGAAGAUAGAGUCUUCUUCACACACAGAACAUAUCUGGAAAAUGCAUUGCAGUGUUUUGAAAGGCUGGGAGAGAGGUCACAAUUAUAAGUGUGGACAGGCAGUCUGCUGCUUGGGACAGCAUUUAGGAAGAGGAGACCAUUUUUCUGCAUUUUGUAAUACCCUCGGUGUGGCUCCUGCCGCGGUUAUCGCUCCCGAUCCCUGGCUGGGGACAUGGAGGCCAGCUGUGCUGUUAGAGAAGUGCCAUCGUGGGAAGCUGGAGCUGCAGCCAGUGUGGCCGGGAUAUCAGCACUGCUUCUGACAUUCUUGGACCCCUCCUCCUUGCUGCUCUCCUAUUUCCCCACUCGCACUUCCCCCAGAUAAUUUAAGCUCCAGAAAUCAGAUGAAAAUUCCUACUCAGCAAUUUAUUUUUCUCCCCUCCCCCUACGCUUUUAAUCCCAGGAGCUUGUUCAGGGAGAAAUAUGUGCUAUCUCAGACAUAUGUGGGUGUGAAAGAGUGCGCUUAGUAAGGGCUUUCUUCAGGUUAAGAAAACAGCAAACUCGUUCUGUGACAUUCUCUCAUCCUUCGGUGACCUGUGCAAGGCACAGGGAGUGUUGUGCAUACACCUGAAGCUAAAACAAAGCUGAAAAACAUCUAAAACGCUGCAGUUGUUGGGUGGGGUUGGAGUGAAUGAGCAGGUGCAUACCAAAGCAAAAUUAUCUUGGGUUGUGUUCCUGUCCUGUUUCAUAAUCAUUAGGCAGGUUUGGGGGCAGAAAACUUCCAAGAAAAAGGGAAAGAAGAGUGGGAAAUGGCAGUUCAGAAGUCAGUGGCUUUCCUGCAAUCAGCCCAGUAGUUGCUCCUAGCUGCCUGACUGCCAGGGUUUGGCAGAGAUUUAGAAGCUGAGUAUCUGUUGACUGUCAGGGCAGUGCUGUCAGUCACCUACGUUCAGGUUAAUGCUUCAGGGAGCUGGCCAAACUCCAGGGGAUAACUCGCCUAAAUAAAGAUAUCAUUGCUCUUUUCUUGGAACUAGAUGUUCUUCCCUCCUCCCUCAGUCUUUUGCUCCUUCUUUGUGCUGUGGAAAAAUGAGACGGCUUUGCACAAUUUGGGGGAUGUUCACAUGUAGAGGAAAAUUUCUCAUCCCUGCAGGAAAAAAAAAACCAACUUGAAUCUAGAAAUCUUAAAAUUAAGAUUGACCCAGAUUAAUGUGUGUUUUUCAGAACAGGAUGAACUGAACAGAUAGGCUGAAAAAUGCAGUGAGUAAUAUAUGUAAACUCAAGCCUUUGGUAUGCAGCUUAAUCUGGCACAGCACCCAACUUGCCUGACUAAUCUGCUUUAUGUCAGCAUGACAAGGUUUGUUGGAAGUGAUGAUAUCUUUUAGUAGACAAAGUAAUUUAGUUGGCUAUCUGUUAGUAGUAUUAGACAAGGUUUCAGGCAUAUAAGUCCUUCUGCAGACCACCUGAAAGCUUAAAAGAAGGUGUCACCUUUGCUUUUAGCUGACCUGUGGAAACAGUUGGGAGCUUAAAGCUUGCCUGCUCUCUCAAUCUUUUCUGCUUAGUUUUAUGAAGGAUUUAUUCUACCUUGUCUACAUGAUGUCUAGAGACUAACUUAUCCACCCAAGAGUACAAUAAUUUCCUUCUUUCAAAUGUUCCUCUGUGUUAACAGGAAAAAUUUCAGAACAGCUGGGCUUGGGUGGUUUAGGUUUUGGGGUACCCAGAUUUUCUUUGCUGGUCAUCUGCUCUGUGCUGUAGAUAUUCUGUAUUGUAUUAAAAUCAGAGCCUCUUGUGAUAUUUGAAUUUGUGUAUCCAAAGGAGACAUUUAAAGUCAGUAACCACUAUUGAAAAGCACAAAUUUUGAAGUUAAUUGUAAUAAGAUAAAAGACAAUAAAUUAGUUAAGUUUCUCUUCUUCUGUGUUUGCCUUCAGCAAAGAGGAAGAAGAAAUGAAGUUACUUAGACACUUGCCUGUGUUGUGGAUUAGGAGUGAUAAAGUCAAAUAGCUACCAAAUGCUUUACAAAAAUAGCAAAAUCUAGCAAGCGAGUAAAGGAAUACUCAAACUGAAGCCGAAAAAGAAAAUAAUGAAAACCAUCCUCUCUCAUGAAUAGUUUUGGUCCUCAUUAUAGAUUAGUAGUUUUGUGAGAUGAUGUAGAAAUGUUCCUUAUUAUCACAGCUUUAUUGCCUACCUCUGUACAUCUGUUCCAAAAUUCAUUUCAAAAUGGCCAGACAUUUCAAUAAUCCAGUGUGGCUUGGAAUUUUCAUAUUGUUUCUGGUGCGUUAAAAUCUGGAUGGAAAGCUGGUACUUUUAAAUUUACAAUUGCACAGACCGCACAACAUCUGGGUAGCUUUGCUCUAUUGCUUUCCCUGUUCCUUUAAAUUUAGAAUGAAGUUAUGAUGUGCAUGAAAGGCUAAAGACCUUGUGUGUGGCAGGUGUUAUUUCAAGCUGACAAAAAUUCAGUAAUAUGUUCAUUUUUCUUUGAUAUAGCCUUUUACAAAAAUGCAUAAAGCACUGAUCCAAACCUUGGCAAUAUAGUUUUAUUUUUUAAAAAAGGCAAAUGGGGCAUUUUCUGGACUAGGAUAAAUUAACAAUUAACUUAUAUAUGUGCAUGUGUUUAUGUUUAUUAAAAAAUAUAUUCAUGAAAUGUUUCCCUAAGAAGUUAUUUAUUAUUAUUCCCUACAAUUAAAGCUUCUCUGUUGAGAUGCAUUUACAUACUUUCUGGUGGAUCAGUAAAAUGUUUUGGGCUCUUAUUUUCCAAGAAUGAUAACACUGAGGAAAAUUGCAAACUUCUUUUAUAUAUUACAUAUAAUAUAUCAUGCACACUACAUAUAUAGAUUCCUAAGAAAUGUCUUGAUGAGUUACCCAUCACUGGCAGUCCAGCAGCCAUAACUAAAGUGAUCUGAGAUCUUUAGCAGAGUGAAACAUCCUGGUUCUAGUGGUCAGUGCUGAGCUUUUCUGCUUUACAUGAGCCAAGACAUAGUUGAUAUAUGGCUAAUCUGCCCAAUACACCCAUGGCAUCCUAAAUAUGGCCUGUAUAAGAAGACCUCUUUAGCCUGCAGGGUUAGUACUUGUAUUUCUAUUUAAAGACAAAUAAACAAAAAAUUCCAAACCAAAACCCCUAUGCCCUCCCAACCCUCCCAAAAUCAUAAUUCAUAAAUAUGUGAAAGGAUGCAAACUUUAUAUGCAUUGUCCCUGUGUCUGAUUGAACCAAAAAUCUUUGGGGAGAUUUUUAAAUGCUGCACACCUGAAUCUUCUGAAUGAGUCCGUGGGGCUUUCUGUAUUGCUGCUCGUGUUGAGCAAGAGAAAAAUGAAUUUUGGGGAAAACCGUGCAUGUAACCAAAUUCCAGCUUAAUGGUUUUACUCCUUUAUCCUUUGGAGUCCCUGUGACCUCCUCUGAGAGACAUAUGGGAGGGUGCUUGUGGCUGGAAUAUUUGGUUAAAAGCCCAUCCCAGUUGUGUUUGGCGUUACUCUUGAGGUGGGUAUAGUGCUGUUUUGCCAGAACACGUCUGAUCAAACUGCAUUUUCAACCUGACCUUCUCCUCACCCCUAAUAACUUCCUGGUUGCUCGGUCAGAGAGAGAUUUAUGAGCAAGGACAAAGUGUGAUGUGUCUGUCCCAGCAGCAAGGGAAACCAGAAAACUUAUUAAGAAAGAAGGGAGGGGGAAAGAAGAGAGAGAAUGAGAAAGAGAGACUGAAAGCGAGUCUGGGUUUCAGACAGAAGCACUUCAGCUUCUGGUCUACUGUAAUUACCCAGCCACUGAAGAAAUAAAACGUUGAAAAAUCAAUUUUAUAAAAAAAUCAAUGUUUUAAACAAUUUGAAAAGCUCUCAUAAUUUUAAAUCCCUCUGCAAUGUGCGUGUUCAGAGCCCUGAUCACCUUCAAAGUGAAGUGCUCCAAAAACUUUAAAUUGUUCUGCACAGAAUAGGCUCUGAACCCCCAUUUCACUACCAAAUGGAAGAAGUCUUGAAAAUGUGAAGCAUACCAAUAACUUUUCAAUAAACCUCUCUGCCCAACCCUACCCAUGCUUCCAUGAAAUUCAUACAUCUCAGAAUUUCAGUGUUUUAUUUCUGUUGAAAAAAAUUCUGCUUGUAGUCUGUAAAGAUGAUUUUUGUCUACUAUAGUAAGAGAUUUUUUUUUUAAAGUUAAAAAUAUGAAGGACUUUCUCAGGUUUUUAGUUACUGAAAUGGUCUUUCCCAUUUUUCCCUUUAAAAGUUUUUCUAUUUUUUCCUGUAUUUAGUCCAGACAAAAAGUACAAAUUGAUGAGUAUAGCUGUUAUCGUUUCCUAACUUACAGCUCUGUGCAGAAAGUGAUUUUACAUUGAAUUGUAAUUUCAUUCACAAGGGCUUUAGACCUUAUAUAAUUAAAAUACCUCAAUCCUCUUCAAAUUAGAAAAGCAAAUUGUUACAUAUCAUAAGUAGGUGCUUUUCACUCUAAUGACAGUCACUUAGAUGAUUUAUGACAUACAUUAUUUUAUAUCAAAGUACAAUGAAAUAGGCAUUACCAAAGGUAAUCUCAGUAAUGUCUGAAAAGGGAUCUCAAACCUCAGUGCAACAAUGAAUGCAGUAUUUAAAAUGCAAAACCCAAAGACAUUAUUAUGGUUUUGAUUUCUUAUGCCACAGCUUCUCCUGAUCUGUUAUAUUAGUACAGCAAUACAAAGGGUGUUUUCGAUGUAUUUUGCUAAGAUAACAGACGGGAAAAAUGAAAUAUAAAGUCAGGUUUUAUGCAGAAAUUGUUAUCAAAGGGAUGAUAAAGUAAAACUGCAUAAUCGCAAGGAAAAACAAUUGAUGAUGUGCAAACUGAAAUAUAUU
This is a long non-coding RNA of Passer domesticus (house sparrow), 5434 nucleotides long. RefSeq lists it as uncharacterized. The transcript is spliced from 5 exons. The record is from RefSeq and is a predicted model, not a curated record. NCBI's taxonomy places the organism in Eukaryota, Metazoa, Chordata, Aves, Passeriformes, Passeridae.